Molecule: non-coding RNA, 73 nt
Organism: Stegodyphus mimosarum
Lineage: Eukaryota; Metazoa; Arthropoda; Arachnida; Araneae; Eresidae
Source: Rfam
GCCUUCGUGGUGUAAUGGUCAGCACACUCGGUGCGUAUUCGAAAGGUCCCAGGUUCGAGUCCCGGCGAGGGCA